RNAcentral lists this ribosomal RNA (570 nucleotides) under Triticum aestivum (bread wheat). RNAcentral's name for it is "partial small subunit ribosomal RNA". The record is from RNAcentral. Lineage: Eukaryota; Viridiplantae; Streptophyta; Magnoliopsida; Poales; Poaceae.
AUGGCCUAUCAUCCCCAAACCAAUGGCCAAACGGAAGUCACCAAUUGGACACUAUCUACUCUCAUACGUGUGUUGAUCAAGAAGAACAUCAAGGAGUGGGAGGGGUGCUUACCCAUCACCGAGUACGCCUACAAUCAUGCAAGACACUCUACUACCGGCAGGUCCCCCUUCAAGGUCGUCUAUGGCUUCAACCCUUUGUCACCCUUGGGCAUCCUCCCUCUACCGCUACAAGAACGAGCGACCAUGGAUGCAAGUGCAAAAGCAAGUUAUCUCAAGAAGGUGCAUGAAGAUACAAGGGCCACGAUCGAGCGUCAAGUACACCACCUCGCCACCAAGCUCAACAUCAACAAGUCUCCAAUGGUGUUCCAACCGGUCGAUCUCGUAUGGCUACAUCUCCACAAGGACCGCUUCCCCAACGAGCGCAAGUCCAAGCUACUACCACGAGCCGAUGGACCCUUCAAGGUGAUAGCACGAUACAAUGACAACGCCUACAAGAUCGACAUCCCACGCAACAAGUACAACAUAAAGCGACAUCUUCAAUGUCAAGGACUUGGCCCCAUACAAUGGUGA